ACUGCACACUGUUAAAGCUCAGGGUGGAGGCCAGUCUUAGCCAGUGACCUUCUGAGUGUCGGAAGUGUGCUCUAUCAAUGGCAGGAUUUUCGCUGACGCCAGCAGAGCUUGCCUCUAUGACUGGAGUUUGAUAGUACUCGCUGCCACCGAU
RNAcentral lists this small nucleolar RNA (151 nucleotides) under Dasypus novemcinctus (nine-banded armadillo). Lineage: Eukaryota; Metazoa; Chordata; Mammalia; Cingulata; Dasypodidae. The record is from RNAcentral.